UUUGUAAGAAUUUGACAAUUUUAGACAUUUCAUAUGAGUGUGAUUUAGCAGUAUUUGUCCUUUUGUGUUGGCUUAUUUCACUUAGCAUAAUGUUUUCAAGGUUCAUCCAGAUUGUAGCAUGAAUCAGAAUUUUGGACACAUUCCUUUUAAACAGCUAAAUAAUAUUCUACUGUAUGGAUAUAGCAUAUUUAUAUGUCCACUCAACUGUUGGUGGACAUGGGCUGUCUCUACCUUUUGAUUAUUGUGAGUAAUGCUGUAGUGAACAUUGGCAUUGUAGCUGACAACAUGACGUGUGAAAGGCGGAGGGGGGACGGAUGAAGAGUUCUGCUGUCUUCAUCUUACAAAGUGAGAGAGAAGUUCGGGAGUAUCUCAGGAUGAUGGAAAAGACUAUUUCAAUUUACAAAGACAACCAAUGGACCAAAGAAAAGCAAGGAUGGAACUACCGUGCGAGUUAACAGAUAUCUUCAAAGAUAGAAUUAACUACCUGAAGACUUGUAAUCACCCGUGAUAAAGAGAUUGCUUCUGUGAUGGAA
This is a non-coding RNA of Sus scrofa (pig), 533 nucleotides long. NCBI's taxonomy places the organism in Eukaryota, Metazoa, Chordata, Mammalia, Artiodactyla, Suidae. The record is from RefSeq and is a predicted model, not a curated record.